UUGUUCUUGUUUUUCUUCAUAUCGUAUAAAUCUUUCGCCUUUUACUAAAAAUUUCCGUGGAGAGAAAUAUUGCGAGUACUAUCAAUUUUUUUGUGGCUUCACUUCAUCGUGGGGC
Molecule: small nuclear RNA, 115 nt
Organism: Ictalurus furcatus (blue catfish)
Lineage: Eukaryota; Metazoa; Chordata; Actinopteri; Siluriformes; Ictaluridae
Product: U5 spliceosomal RNA
Exons: 1
Source: RefSeq, a predicted model, not a curated record